GACGAACGCUGGCGGCGUGCUUAACACAUGCAAGUCGAACGGAAAGGCCCUGCUUUUGUGGGGUGCUCGAGUGGCGAACGGGUGAGUAACACGUGAGUAACCUGCCCUUGACUUUGGGAUAACUUCAGGAAACUGGGGCUAAUACCGGAUAGGAGCUCCUGCUGCACGGUGGGGGUUGGAAAGUUUCGGCGGUUGGGGAUGGACUCGCGGCUUAUCAGCUUGUUGGGGGGGUAGUGGCUUACCAAGGCUUUGACGGGUAGCCGGCCUGAGAGGGUGACCGGCCACAUUGGGACUGAGAUACGGCCCAGACUCCUACGGGAGGCAGCAGUGGGGAAUAUUGCACAAUGGGCGGAAGCCUGAUGCAGCAACGCCGCGUGCGGGAUGACGGCCUUCGGGUUGUAAACCGCUUUCGCCUGUGACGAAGCGUGAGUGACGGUAAUGGGUAAAGAAGCACCGGCUAACUACGUG
This 468-nucleotide ribosomal RNA is filed under the name uncultured bacterium. RNAcentral's name for it is "partial 16S ribosomal RNA". It matches the Rfam family "Bacterial small subunit ribosomal RNA", at positions 28 to 507 of the family's 1533-position model. The record is from RNAcentral.